UGAAAUUGUUCUCAAUUUAUUCGUGGCAUGCGAUGUUACGAAGAUGGGAUAUUUUUGCUGAAUUGUGAUGUGAAUUAUUGAUAGAUUCUCGUUUGAGCAGUACUGAGAUACGAAGUUCGUGAAGGGGCUUGUCUGCGCUACUGGUCUAAGUCGUUAUCUAAUUCUCGAAUGGAUCAAGAUUGUUCAAAUAAUUUUAUUUCAACGCACUUCAAAGGUACUCAAACCGGAAUAACAGUGGUGGAAUUAUCGAAAUAUGGACAACGGACAUCGGUCGAAACCAUAAUAAUAUGCAAUCACGAAUAGCUUCGCGCGAUCUGUACAGCUGCAAAAGGACUGUAAGAGAGACGGGGAGUGUCGUGUCCAUGAAUUGAACGAAAGGCGGUAUUAUUAAUCACCAAACUAGUCAAUGUAGAUCGUUAUGCUCUUUUUUAGGAGUAGUCGUGUUGUUUAACCGGACUUGAGCUGGCGUCCGGGUUCGUUGACGUUGGGUGACCAGGGUUGGAGUAGAAGCGCAGACUAGUGAAUAUCAUUUCAAUCUGCUGCCCACAAAUGUUAUGAAACUAUCAACAAGGAAUCCACUCUGGUGACAGGCCAAUAUCAGUUGAACAGUAGCACACAGUGAUUGAACCACACUUGAUGUUGAUUGUGUUGUAAAUGUCUGUAUCGAUUUCAUCGUAAACAUUAAAACAUUUGAUAAAAUUUA
Long non-coding RNA from Armigeres subalbatus, 703 nucleotides. RefSeq lists it as uncharacterized. The transcript is spliced from 2 exons. The record is from RefSeq and is a predicted model, not a curated record. Lineage: Eukaryota; Metazoa; Arthropoda; Insecta; Diptera; Culicidae.